Molecule: ribosomal RNA, 302 nt
Filed under: uncultured bacterium
Lineage: Bacteria
Description: partial 16S ribosomal RNA
Rfam family: Bacterial small subunit ribosomal RNA
Source: RNAcentral
GCAGUCGCCGCGGGAAUACAGAGGGUGCGAGCGUUAAUCGGAUUUACUGGGCGUAAAGCGUGCGUAGGCGGCUUUUUAAGUCGGAUGUGAAAUCCCUGAGCUUAACUUAGGAAUUGCAUUCGAUACUGGGAAGCUAGAGUAUGGGAGAGGAUGGUAGAAUUCCAGGUGUAGCGGUGAAAUGCGUAGAGAUCUGGAGGAAUACCGAUGGCGAAGGCAGCCAUCUGGCCUAAUACUGACGCUGAGGUACGAAAGCAUGGGGAGCAAACAGGAUUAGAUACCCGCGUAGUCCCUGUCUCUUAUAC